GCCCGUAAUUCGAGGGUUAGUGUUCAGGAUUCUGAGGUUUCCUGGAGCCUCCUCGGCCUUUCACCGCCUCCUACACGCUUGGAGGAGGCGUGGGACUUGCGUCUGACAGAGACAGGCACUUCCCAGAGCCCCAGCGUCACAGCCUUGGGAAAGAGCUGUUCUCCUAUGCCUAUUCCAUUGGAGUGUGAAGUCAUGUGAGAAGGAGAGAAUUGCUGCUGUACAUCAAAAAAUCAAAUUCAAGGUUUACUCUCCAGGUAUAAGACCAAGAAGUUAUCUCCAGAGGACAUUUAUGAAAUCAGUUUAUCCUGAUGGAAGAUAAUAGGAGGAAGUAAAACUCCUUGUCUUAAAGGAUCUAUUU
This is a long non-coding RNA of Aethalodelphis obliquidens (Pacific white-sided dolphin), 358 nucleotides long. RefSeq lists it as uncharacterized. The record is from RefSeq and is a predicted model, not a curated record. Lineage: Eukaryota; Metazoa; Chordata; Mammalia; Artiodactyla; Delphinidae. The transcript is spliced from 3 exons.